AUGUAACACUCCAAUCAGAAGUUAAAAGCCAGAAGAAAGAUUCAAGCUUAAGGAAACAGGAGAAAGCUCAAAGACUGAAACAGCGGCUGGCCAACAUGUUAAUACCGUUGCUGCGACGGACGCGUCAUCAUUGACCACCGUAAUGAUGCGGCACGAGUUCGCAAUGCCGAAACAUUUGCAAAAGAACACAUGAUUGUCGCAGUUUCUCACAAAGAUAAAAAUAAUAUGUGAAUGUUUCGACGAUGAAAACUCGAAGUAAAGCUGAAAAUCUCACGUAUACAUGACGAAGACUUAUUAAGUGAUAAAUUAUUUGCAUUUAUUUAGUAGAUUAAGUUAGUUUGUAAUAUCGUAAGAUAAUCUGUUGCGUUGAAAAUAAAUGAUAAUUAUUAUUGAAAAAUCCUAA
Long non-coding RNA from Papilio polytes (common Mormon), 403 nucleotides. RefSeq lists it as uncharacterized. The record is from RefSeq and is a predicted model, not a curated record. The transcript has 2 exons. NCBI's taxonomy places the organism in Eukaryota, Metazoa, Arthropoda, Insecta, Lepidoptera, Papilionidae.